GAUGAAUAGAGAUGUUGGAUUGAUAUGUAUGAAUUAAGAAUGUUGGAUUGAUUAGUAUGAAAUAGAGAUCUGUUGGAUUGAAGUUAAUGAAUAGAGAUGUUGAUUGAUAUUAAUGAUUAUGAGAUGUUGGAUUGAUGUAAUGAAUAGAAGAUGUUGGAUGAUUAUUAAUGAAUAGAGAUGUGGGAUUGAUAAUUAAUGAAAUAGAUUGCAGACAUUAGAAUUGGAUGAUGUUGAUGAUAUGUGGAUUAUUAAAUGAAUAGAGAUGUGGAUUGAUGUAAAUGAAUAGAGAAUGUUGGAUUGAUAUAAUGAAUUAGAGAUGUUUGGAUUGAUAGUAUGAAAUGAAGAUGUUGGAUUGAUACUAAUGUAGAUGAGAUGAUAGUUAUGAAGAUAGGAGUUGGAUGAUAGUAAUGACUAGAGAUGUUGUGAUUGAUAUUGAUGAAUAGAGAUUGUUGGAUUGAUUAUUAAUGAAUAGAGAUGUUGGAUUUGAUAUUAAUUGAAUAGAGAGAUGGAUUUGAUAUUAAUGAAUAAGUAUGGUGGAUCUUGAUAGUAAAUGAAUGAAGAUGUUGGAUUGAUAUUAAUAAUAGAAUGUUGGAUCUGAUAUUAAUGAAUAGAGAUGGUGGAUUCGGAUAUUAAUGAAAUAGAGAUGGUGGAUUGAUAUUAAUGAAUAGAGAUGUUGGAUUGAUAUAAUGACUAGAAUGUUGGAUUGAUAUAUGACUAGAGGAUGUUGGAAUUGAUAUUAAUGAUAGAGAUGUGGAUUGAUACGGUUAAUGAAAGAGAUUUGGAUAUUGAUAAUUAAUGGCAGCUAGAUGUUGGAUUGAUAAUUAAAUGACUAGAGAUUGCGAUAAUUGAUGAUGUUGGAUUGAUAUUAAUGAAUAGAGAUGUGGAUUGAUAUUAAUGAAUAGAGAUGUUGGAUUGAUAUAAAUGAAUAGAGAUGUUGGAUUGAUAUUAUGAAUAAGAGAUGGUGGAUGAUGAUUAAUGAAUAGAGAAUGGUUAGGAUUAAUAGUAAUGAAUAGAGAUGUUGGAUAAUUAGUAUAAUUAAGAUGUGGAUGAUAAAUAGAGAUGUUGAGAUUGAUAUUGAGAUGAAUAGAGAUGGUGGGAUUCGAUAGUAAUGAAUUAGAGAUGUUGGAUGAUAGUAAUGAAUAGAGAUGUUUGGAUUGAUAUUGAAUCCUAGAUAAGAUGUUGGAUAUGAAUAUUGAAUGAAUAGAGAUGGUGGAUGAUAGUAAUGAAUAGAGAUGUUGGAUUGAUAGUAAUGACACAACAAACCAACAACAUAAGUAAUAGACAUCUAAAGGUCACAGUUCAUUGUAACAUACUGUGUGGCAAAUCUCAAUCACCCCAAAUUAAGUUGUAAAAAUGUGAACAACUUUAGUUGAAAGGAAUAAAUAUCUGACAUUAAAACCAAAAUUUCAGAAGACAAAAACAAAAGAAACAA
This 1432-nucleotide long non-coding RNA is filed under the name Mytilus galloprovincialis (Mediterranean mussel). Lineage: Eukaryota; Metazoa; Mollusca; Bivalvia; Mytilida; Mytilidae. The record is from RNAcentral.